GUGUCAAUGAUGAUACCCCAUACUGUCUCAAAGACAGAUGAUGACUUAAAAAUCAUGUUCAAUAGGAUUAUGCUGAGGCCC
Molecule: small nucleolar RNA, 81 nt
Organism: Lepus europaeus (European hare)
Lineage: Eukaryota; Metazoa; Chordata; Mammalia; Lagomorpha; Leporidae
Product: small nucleolar RNA SNORD115
Exons: 1
Source: RefSeq, a predicted model, not a curated record